UGGGGAAUAUUGGACAAUGGGCGAAAGCCUGAUCCAGCCAUGCCGCGUGUGUGAAGAAGGCUUUCGGGUUGUAAAGCACUUUCAGCGAGGAAGAAGGCUUUCGGCUUAAUACGUCGGAAGAAGGACAUCACUCGCAGAAGAAGCACCGGCUAACUCCGUGCCAGCAGCCGCGGUAAUACGGAGGGUGCGAGCGUUAAUCGGAAUUACUGGGCGUAAAGCGCGCGUAGGUGGCUUGAUAAGCCGGUUGUGAAAGCCCCGGGCUCAACCUGGGAACGGCAUCCGGAACUGUCAGGCUAGAGUGCAGGAGAGGAAGGUAGAAUUCCCGGUGUAGCGGUGAAAUGCGUAGAGAUCGGGAGGAAUACCAGUGGCGAAGGCGGCCUUCUGGACUGACACUGACACUGAGGUGCGAAAGCGUGGGUAGCAAACAGGAUUAGAUACCCCCGUAGUCC
RNAcentral lists this ribosomal RNA (449 nucleotides) under uncultured prokaryote. RNAcentral describes it as "bacterial SSU rRNA". It matches the Rfam family "Bacterial small subunit ribosomal RNA", at positions 355 to 796 of the family's 1533-position model. The record is from RNAcentral.